RNAcentral lists this unclassified non-coding RNA (418 nucleotides) under uncultured fungus. RNAcentral describes it as "partial contains small subunit ribosomal RNA, internal transcribed spacer 1, and 5.8S ribosomal RNA". The stretch from base 1 to 73 matches the Rfam family "Eukaryotic small subunit ribosomal RNA", at positions 1759 to 1831 of the family's 1831-position model. Lineage: Eukaryota; Fungi. The record is from RNAcentral.
UCAAACUUGGUCAUUUAGAGGAAGUAAAAGUCGUAACAAGGUUUCCGUAGGUGAACCUGCGGAAGGAUCAUUAAUGAAUAAAAAGUCGGUUGGAUUUGUUGCUGGCUUUUUUCAACAGCAUGUGCACGAUCCAAUCUGACAUUUAUGCUCAUUUUCCAACCCCUUGUGCACUUCUGUAGAUCCUGAAUGGCCUCUCAAGUAAAUAAUAAUAAUAAUAUUAAUUUACUUGGUUCUGGAGAAUUUGCUGUUGUGUAAUAAAUAUCUUAUGCAUGGCUUAUCUCGUGGCUGUUCAGGUCUAUGUUCUUUUUUAUGCCACAAUUUCAACUGCAUGUCUUUAGAACAUUUGUUUCAUUUUUGAACAUUUAGUACAACUUUCAACAACGGAUCUCUUGGCUCUCGCAUCGAUGAAGAACGCAGC